GGUCUCAUGAUGUAAUGCUUAGCACUCUGGACUUUGAAUCCAGGGAUCUGAGUUCAAAUCUCGGUGAGACCU
This is a non-coding RNA of Octopus bimaculoides (California two-spot octopus), 72 nucleotides long. Lineage: Eukaryota; Metazoa; Mollusca; Cephalopoda; Octopoda; Octopodidae. The record is from Rfam.